ACACUCUGGUUUCUCUUCAUAUCGCAUAAAUCUUUCGCCUUUUACUAAAGAUUUCCGUGGAGAGGAACAGUUAUGAGUUUUUACCCAAUUUUUUGAGGCCUCAGCUCACGAGGCU
Vulpes vulpes (red fox) is the source of this 115-nucleotide small nuclear RNA. Its record names the gene U5. It matches the Rfam family "U5 spliceosomal RNA". From Rfam's summary of the family: U5 RNA is a component of both types of known spliceosome. The precise function of this molecule is unknown, though it is known that the 5' loop is required for splice site selection and p220 binding, and that both the 3' stem-loop and the Sm site are important for Sm protein binding and cap methylation. NCBI's taxonomy places the organism in Eukaryota, Metazoa, Chordata, Mammalia, Carnivora, Canidae. The record is from Ensembl.